AAAUAUUUCUGAAUUCUCUUGUGAUAGGUCAAAAAAUUGAGGAAGACAUAAUUAGCAGCUGAAGAAUGACUCAGAUCAUCAGUAGUGAAUAAGAAUGAUUAGGGGGAAAUAGAGACAGUUUAAUCAGUGUGUGACCAAAAUCAAACAGAGUAAACUGUGUCAUCAUGGAGAUCUGCCCAGGAAAUCCCCAAAAUACAGAAGGAUCAGAAGUAGAUGGAAAUACUGUCAUAGAACGUCUCUCACAAGUGUGUUAUAAGAAUGACAGGGAAGCUACAGGUUACAACAGAUUUGUGAACUCAGCCAAGCACAGUGGUGGCAGGGCCUAGCUGCUACAAAGAAGACAUGUUUUAGACAAAUACUCAUGUGUAUGGGCAAAAAACUCGAGGACUGUAUUUGUGACUAAUUGUGUAACAGGGUAUUUUAGUUCCUGUUCUGUGGAAAGUGUAAAGCAUUCCAACAAAGGGUUUUAAUGUAGAUUUUUUUUGCACCCAUGCUUUGAUUGCUAAAUGUAAUAGUCAGAUCGUGACGCUGAAUAAAUGUCUUUUUCU
RNAcentral lists this long non-coding RNA (548 nucleotides) under Pan troglodytes (chimpanzee). RNAcentral describes it as "lincRNA". Lineage: Eukaryota; Metazoa; Chordata; Mammalia; Primates; Hominidae. The record is from RNAcentral.